GUCCACGCUGUAAACGAUGGAUGCUAGGUGUGGGGGGUGUCGACUCCCUCCGUGCCGAAGCUAACGCAUUAAGCAUCCCGCCUGGGGAGUACGGCCGCAAGGCUAAAACUCAAAGGAAUUGACGGGGGCCCGCACAAGCAGCGGAGCAUGUUGUUUAAUUCGAAGCGACCCGAAGAACCUUACCAAGGCUUGACAUGUGCCUGAAAUCCUGGGAAACCAGGCCCCUCUUCGGAGCAGGUACACAGGUGGUGCAUGGCUGUCGU
Molecule: ribosomal RNA, 263 nt
Filed under: uncultured bacterium
Lineage: Bacteria
Description: partial 16S ribosomal RNA
Rfam family: Bacterial small subunit ribosomal RNA
Source: RNAcentral